RNAcentral lists this unclassified non-coding RNA (298 nucleotides) under Hevea brasiliensis (rubber tree). Lineage: Eukaryota; Viridiplantae; Streptophyta; Magnoliopsida; Malpighiales; Euphorbiaceae. The record is from RNAcentral.
GAGAGAGAGAGAGAGAGAUGAUUUAAAUGUUUGCUUAUAUCUGUUAGAGACGCAAUGUGGCCUCCAAUAAGAAAGCUAAAAACCAGGAAACUACACAUGUACCACACAGAAGCGAGGCAUUAGAAGAUACUAAAAGAUGAAGUGUAUUUUGAGAAGGAUCCUGAGGUGGUAAAUUUGGACUCAAAGAGAUGACUCGGAAGCACCUUUCAUCCUUUCUUUAUAUAAACAUUUAUAAACCCUGGCUAUCAUACUAGCUUAACAUCCAAAUUUCAAAUUUAAGAAUUAGCAUUGCAAAAAU